UGGUGGCUGAAUCGGUAAAGAAUCCACCUGCAGGGCAGGAGACCUGGGUUCAAUCCCUGGGUCAGGAAGAACCCCUGGAGAAGGGAAUGGCAACCCACUCCAGUAUUCUUGCCUGAAGAAUCCCAUGGGCAGAGGAACCUGGUGGACUACAGUCCAUGGGGUCGCAAGCAUUGGACACGACUUAACGACUAAACCACUUACCACCAUGGACAGUACUUUUCACCACUAGAAUUGUAAAUCUUUAGAUCUGCAGUAGCCCCUUAACUUCUCCCAUUUCUUUGCAGGAAGAAGUAAAGCAUCUCCUGAAGCAUGUGACCCUUUGGCCUUCUGAGUAACCCCAGUCCUGAAGGAUGUGGCCGACAGCCCAGGUGCCACGGUUUCCAAGUCCCGUGGAUGUCUUUGUCCACCUGCCAGGGCCUCGUCACCAUGGAAGAGGACGAUUGACUGAUGCGCUGGUUCCUGAGAUCAUGGGCAUCUGGUGGACUAAUACUGACCUCGCCAAUGUCACUGUAACAACUUUCCACAGAUAAGAUGAAAUUCAUUGUCCAUGUGAAACUAUUAUGCAAAAAAGUCUUCUGACCCCUGGCCUGGCUUAGAACAUCACUGGUUCUAAAGAUGUCCUGCAGUCCUCCAGAUCACUUACCAGCCUCCCACUGCUCCUUAGAGGUAAUUUCUACUCUAAAUUUUAGAUGAGCCUUUAUCUGGCUUACUAAGAAAAAAGUUUUAA
RNAcentral lists this long non-coding RNA (727 nucleotides) under Bos grunniens (domestic yak). RNAcentral's name for it is "lncRNA (ENSBGRG00000000586.1)". The record is from RNAcentral. Lineage: Eukaryota; Metazoa; Chordata; Mammalia; Artiodactyla; Bovidae.